RNAcentral lists this non-coding RNA (29 nucleotides) under Mus musculus (house mouse). Lineage: Eukaryota; Metazoa; Chordata; Mammalia; Rodentia; Muridae. The record is from RNAcentral.
UGGGAAUGAAAGGCCUCCUGGGCAGUUGU